Long non-coding RNA from Junco hyemalis (dark-eyed junco), 1622 nucleotides. The record is from Ensembl. NCBI's taxonomy places the organism in Eukaryota, Metazoa, Chordata, Aves, Passeriformes, Passerellidae.
GAGGGAGGGGCCGCAGCCCCCCCCCAAAAUACAGAAUUCGGCGCCCCCUUUUUGGGGGGACCCCAAAAAUCCAAAUCCCCCCUCUCUGUCGGGUGAGAGGAGGAAAAUUCCCGAAGGAAUUCCCGAGGGAAUUCCCGGGAUCGGGGGAAUCCUGGGAAAACCCCGGGGGAGGGAGCAGGGCCGGGUCUGUCCCUUUAAAUUCGGAAUUUUAUAUUUUUUUAUCCAUUAAUUUUAAUUUUUUUUAUUUAAUUAAUAAUAAUAAAUAAAAACCUCGAGGCUUUAAAAAAAAAAAAUAAACCCCAAAAAAACCCGCCAGGAAUCAAAGGAGGAAGGGAAAAAAAUGAUUUAAAAAUUAAUGAGUGAGCCCCAGGAAUUAAUUAAGAAUUAAUUAAAACUUAAUUAAGCCGAGGAGGAAAAUUGGGGGGUCCCCUGGCAGUGAGCAGAGCUGGGAGGUAGCGCUGGGUUGGCCCCACCACCCCCAGUUUGGGGAACCCCCCAUACCCUAAUUUGGGGACCCCCACCCUAAUUUGGGGACCCCCCCCCCACUUUGGGGACCCCCCCAGUUUGGGGACGUCACCCAUGGGACCCCCAUUUUUGGGACCAUCCCCAUUUUGGGGACCUUCUCCUUUUUGGGGACCCCCUUCAUGGGACCCUUCAUUUUGGGGACCAUCCCCACCUUGGUGACCCCAAUUUUGGGGACCCCCCCCCAUUUUGGGGACCAUCCCCACCUUGGUGACCCCCCCAUUUUGGGGACCUUCAAUGGGAUCUCCCAAUUUGGGGAUCUUCAAUGGACUCCCCCAUUUUGGGGACCUUCAAUGGGAUCUCCCAAUUUGGGGAUCUUCAAUGGACCCCCCCAUUUUGGGGACUUUUAAUGGGACCCCCCCAUUUUGGGGACCCCCACUCUAAUUUGGGGACCCCCCCACUUUGGGGACCCCCCAGUUUAGGGACAUCACGCAUGGGACCCCCAUUUUGGGGACCGUCCCCAUUUUGGGGACCCCCCCAUUUUGGGGACCUUCAAUGGAAUCUCCCAUUUUGGGGACUUUCUCCACCUUGGGGACCCCCCAGGACUUGGGGGGCCAUUUUGGGACACCCCCGUUUUGGGAAACCCCUUCAUGGGACCCCCCCCCAUUCUGGGGACCUUCUCCACCUUGGUGACCCCCCCAUUUUGGUGACCUCACCCAUGGGACCCCCUCUGGGAUCCCCCAUUUUGGAGACCGUCCCCACCUCGGUGACCCCUCCAUUUUGGGGACGUUCUCCACCUUGGUGACCCCAUUUCGGGGAUCUCCUACCCACGGUACCCCCAUUUUGGGGACCCUCAUUUUGGGGACCCUCCAUGGAACCCCCUCCCCAAAUUUGGGGAACCCCCCCAGUUUGGGGACAUCACCCAUGGGACCCCCAUUUUGGGAACCGUCCUCAAUUUGGGGGCCCCCUCAUGGGACCCUCCAUUUUGGGGACCUUCUCCACUUAGGGGACCCCCAGUUUGGGGACUUCCCACCCAUGGGACCCCAAUGGGACCCCCCAUUUUGGAGACCGUCCCCACCUUGGUGACCCCUCCCAUUUUGGGGACCUUCUCCAUUUUGGGGACCCUUUAGGCCUUGGGGACCCCCCCUCAUUUUGGGGAC